UCCUGAGUAGCUGGGAUGACAGGCAUGCACCACCAAGCCUAGAGAGAAGCAAUCAUUGGCCACCCACUAUAGCUGGAGACCCCAGAACUUGGUGUCUGCCUCCCAUAGCACCAGGAAGGGUGGAGGCAGGUAAGAAAAAUCAUCCCCUCUCUCCCACAGCCAUCAGAGCAGGGCUCUGGCUCACAGGUGCCUUUAGAAGUACCAUUUCAUGUGAGGGCUACAAUGCCCCAUUUUACAGGUGGGGAAACAAAGGCCUGGAGGGCUAGGGAAGAGGGCAGACUCCCCAGGUGGGGGAACCCACCAGCUCCUCGAAGCUGCUGUGUGGCUCCGCCUGCUGCUCGUAGAGGGCUUCCCACCCCAGCUCCAGCAUCCUCUCCAGCUCCCGCAGUGUCUCCUGCUCCCACAGCCUCUGAUCUUCCUCCCGCAGCCUCUCCUGUUCCAGCAUCUCCUCCACUUGGUCCAGCAGCUGCUCCUCCUCCAGCAGCCUCUUCUGCUCCUCCUGUCGCCUCUCCCGUUCCAAAAGCUUCUCCACCUGCUCCAGCAGCCUCUCCUGCUCCCGCA
This is a non-coding RNA of Macaca mulatta (Rhesus monkey), 561 nucleotides long. Lineage: Eukaryota; Metazoa; Chordata; Mammalia; Primates; Cercopithecidae. The record is from RefSeq and is a predicted model, not a curated record.